This 460-nucleotide ribosomal RNA is filed under the name uncultured bacterium. RNAcentral describes it as "partial 16S ribosomal RNA". It matches the Rfam family "Bacterial small subunit ribosomal RNA", at positions 338 to 795 of the family's 1533-position model. The record is from RNAcentral.
CCUACGGGUGGCUGCAGUGAGGAAUAUUGGUCAAUGGACGAGAGUCUGAACCAGCCAAGUAGCGUGAAGGAUGACUGCCCUAUGGGUUGUAAACUUCUUUUAUCAAGGAAUAAAACGAGUCACGUGUGCCUUUUUGCAUGUACUUUAUGAAUAAGGAUCGGCUAACUCCGUGCCAGCAGCCGCGGUAAUACGGAGGAUGCGAGCGUUAUCCGGCUUUAUUGGGUUUAAAGGGAGCGGAGGUGGGUGGUCAAGUCAGGUGUGAAAGUUUGCGGCUCAACCCUAAAAUUGCAGUUGAUAUUGGCAUUCUUGAGUACGGUUGAGGUAGGCGGAAUGCGUGGUGGAGCGGUGAAAUGCUUAGAUAUCACGAAGAACUCAGAUUGCGAAGGCAGCUUACUAAACUGUGACUGACAUUGAUGCUCGAAAGUGUGGGUAUCAAACAGGAUUAGAUACCCGGGUAGUC